RNAcentral lists this transfer RNA (98 nucleotides) under Streptomyces griseus. Its description in RNAcentral is "tRNA-Arg(cct)". The record is from RNAcentral. Lineage: Bacteria; Bacillati; Actinomycetota; Actinomycetes; Kitasatosporales; Streptomycetaceae.
ACCCGGCGGCGGUGGGCGGCUACGAGCUGCUGGACCGCCUCGGUUCGGGCGGGAUGGGCAUGGUCUAUCUGGCCCGGUCCGCGUCCGGCCGUCGGGUG